UGCAGCCUUGAACUCCUGCGCUCAAGUAAUCUGCCCACCUCAGCCUCCUGAGUAGCUGUUUGUACAGGCGUACACUGCCAUGCCUCUCUCCCUCUCUCCUGCUCCACCAUGAUCUAUAGCCAGUUGCCUUGGAAUCUCUGCUGAGUACUUCAUCAAGCACCUGCUGUUUGAAGAGGGAAUAAGCCAGAAUAAAAUUCUCGCUCUUCAGAGUAAUGGAGCAUGAGUCUGCCACACAGAACUUUAGAGAGAGUCCUUUAUUUCAAAGACUGUAAAGUUGGAAGAAUUCAUUCAUCUGCAAAGUCAAAUGUCAAAAGUUGUGCUUCCCACUCCUCAUCAGGCCUGUGGUUAACAAUGCACUCGACUGACAGCUCUGUCAUGCAACAGGGUGCGUGAGAUCGCGAGAGCUGAUUGAUGCCUCUGCCUCUACAGUCUGAAAAGUUGCCAGACCAUAUGCUACUUAGUUUAGCCUGUGUGCAUCCUGCCCUGGGACCUGAUUUCUACUUUAUCUUUAAAAAUAUAAAACCUUGGUGCCCUUUAAGUUCUGCUACUGUCUUAAAGUUUUAAAGAAGACAUCAAUGGGUCCAA
Molecule: long non-coding RNA, 585 nt
Filed under: Homo sapiens (human)
Lineage: Eukaryota; Metazoa; Chordata; Mammalia; Primates; Hominidae
Description: HSALNT0394965
Source: RNAcentral